Non-coding RNA from Cinara cedri, 473 nucleotides. The record is from the annotation of a GenBank genome assembly. Lineage: Eukaryota; Metazoa; Arthropoda; Insecta; Hemiptera; Aphididae.
UUCGCGCGCGGUUUUAUAUUCCAUAAUACGAACGACCGUCAGAAACGAAAAUAAAUGAUUUUAAAUAAUUUUUCCAUUUAUUCUGCUCGCGCGGUGACGUCGUCGAGGACAACGACUGUCCCGCAGCAACAGCUGCAGUUUUCUUCAUAAACCUUUUUUUCGUAUUUUUUUUUUUUUUCUAUAUUCCGAACGUAUCUGCCUAUAAUAAAUUAUAUGUGGUGAUGGGAAAGCUUCUUUUACGCCAAAGAGACGCGGUUUUCUUAUAUGCGUCGUAUAUGAGUUUUCCGCUCGGCAGUAGGUACCGAAUCAUCACAAGACUUCCGAGGAUUCGCCGGCACUCGCAAUUUGAUUUUCGGAGGGAAAGGGUUACUUUUUAGGUAAUCCACAUAAGCUUCGUUUAAUUGUUUUGCGAUUGAUCUGCAGUGGAAAACGUUCGUCUUGCCAUCACGGUUUGCAUUUAUUGGAAGAGGCUG